ACUGGACAAUCACUGACUUGCUGUUGGAAGGUUCCAAAAUCCAUUUAUUCAUACAAGGAUCUUUUGUAUGCACAAGCUCCAUUUUUUGAGCUGACCUUUGAGAACACUGCUCUGUUAUACCAUGUCUUGCUUAAUUGUUAUACUGUUCACUUUUUUUUAUUCUUAAUUAAUCAUAUUUUUCUGUAUACUGUAACUUGUAAUGGUUAUAUAAAUGCUAAGUGUUGUCUUGCUAUUAGAUGAAACGCGUUGGGCUAUUACUCUGUUUUCUGAUGUUAUCUCCGAAUACUCAAUAAGGAAGAUUAGGGAUACAGGCAGAAGUUUAUCUGCACCCUUCCACAAAACACAGGAGAUUUGCAUCUUGUUAACUAUGUAAUAUGAUGGACACCAUGUAUGCUU
Long non-coding RNA from Pseudophryne corroboree (corroboree frog), 396 nucleotides. RefSeq lists it as uncharacterized. The record is from RefSeq and is a predicted model, not a curated record. NCBI's taxonomy places the organism in Eukaryota, Metazoa, Chordata, Amphibia, Anura, Myobatrachidae. The transcript has 3 exons.